RNAcentral lists this ribosomal RNA (253 nucleotides) under uncultured bacterium. RNAcentral's name for it is "partial 16S ribosomal RNA". It matches the Rfam family "Bacterial small subunit ribosomal RNA", at positions 524 to 776 of the family's 1533-position model. The record is from RNAcentral.
UACAGAGGUCUCGAGCGUUGUUCGGAUUCAUUGGGCGUAAAGGGUGCGUAGGUGGUCGGCUAAGUCGGAUGUGAAAUCCCGGGGCUCAACCCCGGAACUGCAUUCGAUACUGGCUGGCUUGAGUCCUGGAGGGGAGAUCGGAAUUUACGGUGUAGCAGUGAAAUGCGUAGAUAUCGUAAGGAAGACCAGUGGCGAAGGCGGAUCUCUGGACAGGAACUGACACUGAGGCACGAAGGCCAGGGGAGCAAACGGG